GGAGGGGACAGGUGAGUUACCAACCAGGUGAAGGGGGCAGGGUCUCAAGGGAGGAUGACACUUAGACAGGCCAAUGACCCCCAGGCCUGAGGAGCAUCCUUUGAAAUCGACGAAUCACACGACGCCUUGCUGGUAUGUUAGCCUGAUUGACAGGGCACACUCGGCGAGGGGGCAGGGAGAGAGGCAUAGGCACACCUGGGAAGGGACUCGGAAGUUUAAAACAGGACAUUGCAACACACCACAACAGAGGUGGAGGCCGGGCAUGAAGCCCAGGUGAGGAGAGAGGCCAGGGUGGCUGCCAGUGAGGCAACAAGGGCCACCAUGGUGAGACAGCGGGUGGAGGUGGCCCUGGGUCUGCUGGAGCGCUUGGUGGCCGCAUGUGACAAAGCCACCGCGUUCCCCUGGGAGCUGCGGCGCCUGCUCAGGGACAUCGAGACCACCAUGAAGGGGACAAAUGAGGCAUUCCCCAAAGUCCCUGAGGACUUGGUGGCUAAGGUGGCCGUGGCUGAGCGGCUGUGGGAGGACAAGGCCCACCUGGUCAAGGAUCACCUGGUAGGGACAGUUCGAGACAUCAUCAAGUUGUAUAUCGAUAGUGGUCCUGCCCACCUCAGUGCCCACCCCAGCCAUGGGGUGGCUGAGCAGUGCCAAAGAGCCAUUGAGGACAUCCCAAGGCUCCUUCAAUCCCCAGAGUGUCCCCAAGGUGUCCCCAAUGUCUCCCCAGUGAGCAUGGAGCUCCAAGAGCUGUCCCCGGCCCUGCUGCAGCCAGAGGUCACUGUUGUGGCCAUCCUGGGUGAGCUGCUGGUUACCCUGCCCAGGCAGGACGAGGAGAUGAAUCUGCUCGUGUUCCCAGGGUGCCUGUACGGGGACCAGGAGGUUUUCACCAGCAACCUCUGGGACACCCUGUACAGCACUGAUGACACCUGGAGGCGCCGCAAUGUCACAUCAGAUGAUGAUGACCCUGUCACCUCCUUGAGCCAGGCCCUGGCUGCCUACAAGAGCACCCCAGGGAUCCCCCGGAACCGUGU
RNAcentral lists this long non-coding RNA (1025 nucleotides) under Zonotrichia albicollis (white-throated sparrow). RNAcentral's name for it is "lncRNA (ENSZALG00000003256.1)". The record is from RNAcentral. Lineage: Eukaryota; Metazoa; Chordata; Aves; Passeriformes; Passerellidae.